UACGUAGGGUGCAAGCGUUGUCCGGAAUUAUUGGGCGUAAAGAGCUCGUAGGCGGUUUGUUGUCGUCGGCUGUGAAAUCCCGAGGCUCAACCUCGGGUCUGCAGUCGAUACGAGCAAACUAGAGUGUUGCAGGGGAGACUGGAAUUCCUGGUGUAGCGGUGAAAUGCGCAGAUAUCAGGAGGAACACCGGUGGCGAAGGCGGGUCUCUGGGCAACAACUGACGCUGGAGGAGCGAAAGCGUGGGGAGCGAACAGG
Molecule: ribosomal RNA, 255 nt
Filed under: uncultured bacterium
Lineage: Bacteria
Description: partial 16S ribosomal RNA
Rfam family: Bacterial small subunit ribosomal RNA
Source: RNAcentral